GGUCAAGUUAAAAAGAGCACUAGGUGAAUGCCUAGGCACCAAGAGGCGACGAAGGACGUGACAAGCUGCGAAAAGCUACGGAGAGGAGCAAAUGUCCAUUGACCCGUAGAUAUCCGAAUGGGGAAACCCACCGUAAGGUAUCCUAUAGCCAAUUCAUAACUAUAGGAAGCGAACCAGGUGAACUGAAACAUCUAAGUAACCUGAGGAAAAGAAAGAAAACUCGAUUCCCUGAGUAGCGGCGAGCGAACGGGGA
RNAcentral lists this ribosomal RNA (253 nucleotides) under Veillonella sp. Its description in RNAcentral is "partial 23S ribosomal RNA". It matches the Rfam family "Bacterial large subunit ribosomal RNA", at positions 1 to 263 of the family's 2925-position model. The record is from RNAcentral. Lineage: Bacteria; Bacillati; Bacillota; Negativicutes; Veillonellales; Veillonellaceae.